This 1244-nucleotide long non-coding RNA is filed under the name Mus musculus (house mouse). RNAcentral describes it as "long non-coding RNA chr1:137932040-137933284". The record is from RNAcentral. Lineage: Eukaryota; Metazoa; Chordata; Mammalia; Rodentia; Muridae.
GUUAAAUGGGCAGACAGAUUGGAACUUGAGGGCUAUAGCUAAGAGAAAGAAAGUGGAGGCUUGAAGGCUAUAAUUUCUCUUUCUGUGGUGGUAACAAAAUCAGGGGAUACAUGGAGUCAGGUGACUGCAGACUGGAACCAGAGCCGGGAAGAGCAAACUGCACAGAGAAGGACCCCACUCCUCAGGAUGUGCUAUGUGGCAAGAUGGAGAAGUCCUCACUGAAUCCGUUCCACACUCAGUACCCAAGUCCCAAUGCCUGUGACCCCGCUUCCCAGUUGAUUGGAUCCUAGAUUUGACAGUUCCAUGUUUGAUUCUCCUUCCUUCCACUUCUUUACUUUAAAGCAAAACAAAAGAUAAAUAAGUUACCAGGCCCCUGACUUCUGGCCCCUGCUGAGAGCUCAAAGAAGACACUGCAUCUAAAAGAAUACUCAGUGGACCAGAGGCAGCGGUGCAUGCUCUGGCGUGCACUUGCAGUUCUCUGCUUAUAACUUAGCCAUAUCCUUAUAUUCAGAAAAUUAAAUAGAAUCCUAGAAAUGAUAGUAAGCACAGAAAUUGUACAUUGUGACUCAUAUCAAGUGGAAAGCAGGAAGUCCUAAAACUGCCUCCUAGGUCAUCAGACUAGCUAGAGGGUGCCAUCAGCUUAAUUACAGGUUUGCACACUCAGAGAGGAUGGUGUAGAAAUGUUUGAGGAGAAAUACCCUUAUCAAGACACACAUACAGUAAACUGGAAUUACCAUCCAACCUAGACAAGAGUGUGUGUUGAAAUUGCCUGAGGAUAUUGUUCACACAGCAAACUGAUGUCAAUCUCAGAUCUUCUGACAUCUGUAUACAUAUGAUAAUCAACAGAAUUCUGCUGAGAAUUGAGUAUUUUCUUCGGGACACAUCUGCAGCUUCUGUUUACCUUUCUUCCCUGUUCUGAAGGUGUUUGCUCACUUUCCUGUAGUUCUGAUUUGCUCACGAGGAUGCCCAGACAACAGGAAGGUAAGUACAUGCAUAAAUUGUGUUAGACCUUUGGGAAUUCCUUCCUCCGUUUCAGUAUUGUGGUUUUGGUUUUGUUUUGUUAAAAAAAAAAUGGGUGAGAUGAAAGCCCAUUUUCUCAUUUAUAAAUAUCCCCACGAGAACUGGUAGCUCUGUGAGCACAGAGAAGAGGCAUGGCAGACAACCGAUACAUCCCAUCUUUAGAAGUAUUGGCAGGUUUCUGUAGGAAAUACAGUUUAUUCUGGAAGACAUGGUUACCAUAAUUU